Molecule: ribosomal RNA, 537 nt
Filed under: uncultured bacterium
Lineage: Bacteria
Description: bacterial SSU rRNA
Rfam family: Bacterial small subunit ribosomal RNA
Source: RNAcentral
ACGGGUGAGUAACGCGUGGGAAACUACCCUUUGGUACGGAAUAACACAGAGAAAUUUGUGCUAAUACCGUAUGUGCCCUUCGGGGGAAAGAUUUAUCGCCAUAGGAUGUGCCCGCGUAGGAUUAGCUAGUUGGUGUGGUAAUGGCGCACCAAGGCGACGAUCCUUAGCUGGUCUGAGAGGAUGAUCAGCCACAUUGGGACUGAGACACGGCCCAAACUCCUACGGGAGGCAGCAGUGGGGAAUAUUGGACAAUGGGCGCAAGCCUGAUCCAGCCAUGCCGCGUGAGUGAUGAAGGCCUUAGGGUUGUAAAGCUCUUUCACCCACGACGAUAAUGACGGUAGUGGGAGAAGAAGCCCCGGCUAACUUCGUGCCAGCAGCCGCGGUAAUACGAAGGGGGCUAGCGUUGUUCGGAAUCACUAGGCGUAAAGCGCGCGUAGGCGGACCGUUAAGUCGGAGGUGAAAGCCUGGAGCUCAACUCCAGAACUGCCUUCGAUACUGGCGGUCUCGAGUCCGGGAGAGGUGAGUGGAACUGCUAGU